GCAUGCUCUCUAUAUGAUCUUAAAUAUAUUACACCAUACAUUAAAAAUCGAUAAAAGAUUCAACAAUUAUAAUAUUGUGUUUCCAUCUUUCUCUGUGAAUUUCAUUGCAUAGGUGACGCAAUGCGCAUGCACGACGGUCCACUAAGUCUCCUUGAUGCCGUUUAUUUUAUGAUAGGUUAUAACCAAGCUUCGUUAAAUCCACUCGUUAAUAAUAGAUAAUUAAAAUAUUUUAUCUAACCUACAUCCCUAUUUUAUAUACUAAUCGAUAGUUGAAAAUGUGAUUUUCACGAAGUGAAUUUCAAAAUGUGAAUAUUCGCAAGUUGUGAUAUCGUUUCGUUUAAAAAAUAUCCACAAAAAUAAAAUCGGUAUCUUCUUACGCUUUCUAUUUCGAAUUAUCUUGUCUUAUUUUUGACAGUAUCGGUACUUCUUUCACUUUUUAACGAUGUAGCAAUUAAUAAUUUGCCAUUAAUUAUACUUCAUAUAUCGUAUUUCAUUUGAUUUUCAUAUACACAGGCUUCCAAAAGUUGUACGUGCUGGAAAAGAACGGUAAACGGAUAGAGAAAACAAUUAUAUAUAGAUAUACACGCGAAGCAGUUUUACAUCACAUCAAGCUUAUUAUUAGAUAGGAAAUCGUCCUAGGAUAUCGAUAUGGAGACAAUUAUUUUACGUUUUAAUAUUAUAGUUUUAUAUUUUAUAGUUAUAUUUUAAUAUCAUAUAUAUUUGUCGUCAUAAGAUUCAUCAGUAACAAAAAAAUUAUUAUUCCGAAGCUCUGGAAAAAAUUUAAAGAACCGUAAUAAAGCGUUAUGAAUAUCUCUUGCAA
Vespula vulgaris is the source of this 820-nucleotide long non-coding RNA. RefSeq lists it as uncharacterized. The record is from RefSeq and is a predicted model, not a curated record. NCBI's taxonomy places the organism in Eukaryota, Metazoa, Arthropoda, Insecta, Hymenoptera, Vespidae. The transcript is spliced from 2 exons.